AGAGUUUGAUCAUGGCUCAGAAUCACGCUGGCGGCGUGCUCAGACAUGCAAGUCGAACGCGAAAGCCCCUUCGGGGGGUAAGUAGAGUGGCGCACGGGUGAGUAACACGUAGGUAAUCUACCUUUGGAUGGGGAAUAACACCGGAAACGGUGGCUAAUACCGCAUAAUGCAGCGGCACCUAAUGGUGACAGUUGUUAAAGCGGGGGAUCGCAAGACCUCGCGUCUGAAGAGGAGCCUGCGGCGGAUUAGCUAGUUGGUAGGGUAACGGCUUACCAAGGCGAUGAUCCGUAGCCGGCCUGAGAGGGCGGUCGGCCACACUGACACUGACAUACGGGUCAGACUCCUACGGGAGGCAGCAGUCGGGAAUUUUGGGCAAUGGGCGAAAGCCUGACCCAGCAACGCCGCGUGAAGGAUGAAAUCCCUCGGGAUGUAAACUUCGCAAGAUCAGGAAGAAUAAGUAAGAGCUAACAUCUCUUAUGAUGACGGUACUGUUUGUAAGCUCCGGCUAACUCCGUGCCAGCAGCCGCGGUAAUACGGGGGGAGCAAGCGUUGUUCGGAUUUACUGGGCGUAAAGGGCGCGUAGGCGGCCACCGCAAGUCGACUGUGAAAUCUCCGGGCUUAACUCGGAAAGGUCAGCCGAUACUGCGGGGCUAGAGUGCAGAAGGGGCAACUGGAAUUCUCGGUGUAGCGGUGAAAUGCGUAGAUAUCGAGAGGAACACCUGCGGCGAAGGCGGGUUGCUGGGCUGACACUGACGCUGAGGCGCGAAAGCUAGGGGAGCGAACGGGAUUAGAUACCCCGGUAGUCCUAGCCUUAAACGAUGAAUGCUUGGUGUCUGGGGUUUUAUAGUCCCCGGGUGCCGUCGCUAACGCUUUAAGCAUUCCGCCUGGGGAGUAUGGUCGCAAGACUGAAACUCAAAGGAAUUGACGG
Molecule: ribosomal RNA, 928 nt
Filed under: uncultured bacterium
Lineage: Bacteria
Description: bacterial SSU rRNA
Rfam family: Bacterial small subunit ribosomal RNA
Source: RNAcentral